GUCCACGCCGUAAACGAUGGGCACUAGGUGCUUGGGGGAGCGACCCCCCGGGUGCCGGCGCUAACGCAUUAAGUGCCCCGCCUGGGGAGUACGGCCGCAAGGCUGAAACUCAAAGGAAUUGACGGGGGCCCGCACAAGCGGUGGAGCAUGUGGUUUAAUUCGACGCAACGCGAAGAACCUUACCUGGGCUUGACAUGCGCGGGAAAGCCCCCCAGAAAGGGGGGGCCCCUCUUCGGAGUCCGCGCACAGGUGCUGCAUGGCUGUCGU
Molecule: ribosomal RNA, 267 nt
Filed under: uncultured bacterium
Lineage: Bacteria
Description: partial 16S ribosomal RNA
Rfam family: Bacterial small subunit ribosomal RNA
Source: RNAcentral